CCUUAACACGCUGGCGGCGUGCCUAACACAUGCAAGUCGAACGAGAAAGUGGAGCAAUCCAUGAGUACAGUGGCGACCGGGUGAGUAACACGUGACUAACCUACCCUCGAGUGUGGAAUAACCCCGGGAAACCGGGGCUAAUACCGCAUAACAUCGCAAGAUCAAAGCAGCAAUGCGCUUGAGGAGGGGGUCGCGGCUGAUUAGCUAGUUGGCGGGGUAACGGCCCACCAAGGCGAAGAUCGGUAUCCGGCCUGAGAGGGCGCACGGACACACUGGAACUGAAACACGGUCCAGACUCCUACGGGAGGCAGCAGUGGGGAAUUUUGCGCAAUGGGGGAAACCCUGACGCAGCAACGCCGCGUGGAGGAUGAAGCCCUUUGGGGCGUAAACUCCUUUCGACCAAGACGAUAAUGACGGUACUGGUGGAAGAAGCACCGGCUAACUCUGUGCCAGCAGCCGCGGUAAUACAGAGGGUGCAAGCGUUGUUCGGAAUUAUUGGGCGUAAAGGGCGCGUAGCGGCGCGGUAAGUCACCUGUGAAACCUCCGGGCUUAACUCGGAGCCUGCAGGCGAAACUUACGUGCUCCAAUGU
RNAcentral lists this ribosomal RNA (590 nucleotides) under uncultured bacterium. RNAcentral's name for it is "bacterial SSU rRNA". It matches the Rfam family "Bacterial small subunit ribosomal RNA", at positions 24 to 649 of the family's 1533-position model. The record is from RNAcentral.